UUUUAGAGUUUGAUCCUGGCUCAGGAUGAACGCUGGCGGCAUGCCUAAUACAUGCAAGUCGAACGGGGUGCUUGCACCCAGUGGCGAACGGGUGAGUAACACGUAUCUAAUCUACCUUUUAGUGGGGGAUAACAGUUGGAAACGACUGCUAAUACCGCAUACGACAUCAUUAUCGCAUGAGAAGAUGUUGAAAGGCCCGUUUGGGUCGCUAGAAGAUGAGGAUGCGGCGUAUUAGCUAGUAGGUGGGGUAAAGGCCCACCUAGGCGAUGAUACGUAGCCGAACUGAGAGGUUGAUCGGCCACAUUGGGACUGAGAUACGGCCCAGACUCCUACGGGAGGCAGCAGUAGGGAAUUUUUCACAAUGGGCGAAAGCCUGAUGAAGCAAUGCCGCGUGAGUGAUGACGGUCUUCGGAUUGUAAAGCUCUGUUGUAAGGGAAGAACAGCUAGAAGAGGAAAUGCUUUUAGUUUGACGGUACCUUACCAGAAAGCCACGGCUAAAA
This 500-nucleotide ribosomal RNA is filed under the name Spiroplasma endosymbiont of Heliconius xanthocles. Its description in RNAcentral is "bacterial SSU rRNA". It matches the Rfam family "Bacterial small subunit ribosomal RNA", at positions 1 to 502 of the family's 1533-position model. The record is from RNAcentral. Lineage: Bacteria; Bacillati; Mycoplasmatota; Mollicutes; Entomoplasmatales; Spiroplasmataceae.